UAUACCACAGGGGGGCCACCUGACCCCUCGGACAUCCACGUCCAUAAGCAGGUGUGUGAGAUCAUCGAGAGCCCCCUCUUUCUGAAGUUGAACCCUAUGACCAAGCACACAGAUGUGAGUAAUACUCCAUGCCUACUCUGUCAUGAUUGUUGCUAUACCUUUUACUGUGUGACACUCCUCUAUUGGGGAAUGCCAGAUGCCACUUAACAGCUGUGACUCUGGCUUAGUCAUUUAAUCUCCAAACUGAAAAGAGGUAAUCCCUACUUCAUUGGUUUCUUGGGAAGAUGAGAGGAAAUGUGUAAAAGCAGCUAGCCCAAAUGUUGGCAUAUAGUGUUCAGGUUUCUCCAUCUCCUUCACAGCUUCCUGUCAGUGUUUUUGAGUCUGUCAUCGAUAUAAUCAAUGGAGAGGUAAUACCCUACCCUUCAACCCUCAGAUCCUGCUCUUGGCCUCUUUCCUGCUUUUGAUUCUCCCUUUGUGGGUUACCUUGCCCUGUAGGCCACAAUGCUGUUUGCUGAGCUGACCUACACUCUGGCCACAGAGGAAGCGGAACGCAUUGGUGUAGACCACGUAGCCCGAAUGACAGCAACAGGCAGUGGAGAGAACUCCACUGUGGCUGAACACCUGAUAGCACAGCACAGCGCCAUCAAGAUGCUGCACAGCCGCGUCAAGCUCAUCUUGGAGUACGUCAAGGCCUCUGAAGCGGGAGAGGUCCCCUUUAAUCAUGAGAUCCUG
RNAcentral lists this small RNA (732 nucleotides) under Pongo abelii (Sumatran orangutan). RNAcentral describes it as "retained intron". The record is from RNAcentral. Lineage: Eukaryota; Metazoa; Chordata; Mammalia; Primates; Hominidae.